UCCCUCUUACUGGGCCUCCCAGUUCCCCCAGUCCCACCUUACCGGGUCUCCCAGUUGCCCUGUUACUGGGAUUCCCAGUUACCCCAUUACUGGGGCUCCCAGUUCCCCCAGUCCCCUCUUACUGGGGCUCCCAGUUCCCCCAGUUCCCAUGUUACUGGGGCUCCCAGUUGCCCUCUUACUGGGAUUCCCAGUUACUGUGCUACUGGGCCUCCCAGUAACCCCAGUUCCCUCUUACUGGGGCUCCCAGUUCCCCCAGUCCUCUCUUACUGGGUCUCCCAGUUGCCCUCUUACUGGGAUUCCCAGUUACUGUGUUACUGGGCCUCCCAGUAACCCCAUUGCCCUCUUACUGGGGCUCCCAGUUCCCCCAGU
Long non-coding RNA from Oxyura jamaicensis (ruddy duck), 369 nucleotides. RefSeq lists it as uncharacterized. The transcript has 3 exons. The record is from RefSeq and is a predicted model, not a curated record. NCBI's taxonomy places the organism in Eukaryota, Metazoa, Chordata, Aves, Anseriformes, Anatidae.